This 253-nucleotide ribosomal RNA is filed under the name uncultured bacterium. Its description in RNAcentral is "partial 16S ribosomal RNA". It matches the Rfam family "Bacterial small subunit ribosomal RNA", at positions 57 to 305 of the family's 1533-position model. The record is from RNAcentral.
GCAAGUCGAGCGGUAACAUUUCAAAAGCUUGCUUUUGAAGAUGACGAGCGGCGGACGGGUGAGUAAUGCCUAGGAAAUUGCCCUGAUGUGGGGGAUAACCAUUGGAAACGAUGGCUAAUACCGCAUGAUGCCUACGGGCCAAAGAGGGGAACGUCGGGCCUCUCGCGUCAGGAUAUGCCUAGGUGGGAUUAGCUAGUUGGUGAGGUAAUGGCUCACCAAGGCGACGAUCCCUAGCUGGUCUGAGAGGAUGAUC